RNAcentral lists this unclassified non-coding RNA (276 nucleotides) under plant metagenome. Its description in RNAcentral is "partial contains small subunit ribosomal RNA, internal transcribed spacer 1, and 5.8S ribosomal RNA". The stretch from base 229 to 276 matches the Rfam family "5.8S ribosomal RNA", at positions 1 to 48 of the family's 154-position model. The record is from RNAcentral.
UUUCCGUAGGUGAACCUGCGGAAGGAUCAUUAUUGAAUGAAUGUAGAGUUGGUUGUCGCUGGCCUCUUCACUGGGGCAUGUGCACGCCUUCUCUUUCAUCCACACACACCUGUGCACUUGUGAGACAGAGGCCUUUUCCUCUUUUACGAGAGGAGGGGUUUCUGUCUGCCAAUACAUAGACUCAUAUAUUGUAAUCUGAAUGUAAUUGAUGUAACGCAUCUAUAAACUAAGUUUCAACAACGGAUCUCUUGGCUCUCGCAUCGAUGAAGAACGCGC